GUCCCUGUGGCGUAAUGAAUAGAGCGUUGGACUUCAAAUCCAAAGGUCGUGGGUUCGAAUCCCACCUGGGAUG
This 73-nucleotide transfer RNA is filed under the name Trichonephila inaurata madagascariensis. It matches the Rfam family "tRNA". From Rfam's summary of the family: Transfer RNA (tRNA) molecules are approximately 80 nucleotides in length. Their secondary structure includes four short double-helical elements and three loops (D, anti-codon, and T loops). Lineage: Eukaryota; Metazoa; Arthropoda; Arachnida; Araneae; Nephilidae. The record is from Rfam by way of RNAcentral.